RNAcentral lists this ribosomal RNA (274 nucleotides) under uncultured bacterium. Its description in RNAcentral is "partial 16S ribosomal RNA". It matches the Rfam family "Bacterial small subunit ribosomal RNA", at positions 523 to 796 of the family's 1533-position model. The record is from RNAcentral.
CUACGGAGGGUGCAAGCGUUGUUCGGAAUUACUGGGCGUAAAGCGCGCGUAGGCGGUCUGUUAUGUCAGAUGUGAAAGUCCUCGGCUCAACCGGGGAAGUGCAUUUGAAACUGGCAGACUUGAGUACUGGAGGGGGUGGUGGAAUUCCCGGUGUAGAGGUUAAAUUCGUAGAUAUCGGGAGGAAUACCGGUGGCGAAGGCGACCACCUGGCCAGAUACUGACGCUCAGGUGCGAAAGCGUGGGGAGCAAACAGGAUUAGAUACCCCAGUAGUCC